GACAUUCAGACUUUAUUGGAAAAGUGAUGUCAGGAAUCAGGAAAUGGAAGCACAAGCCGGGGCAGCUGAGACUUGGAGUGGAGGUGGAGAUCUGCCAGGGAGGAAUGUUCCCUGGGUCUGUUCCAGAAAGUAAGAUAGACCCGCAUGAAUGGAUCAAAUGAAAAAGACCACAGAGGGCUGAACAUGAGGCAGAACCAGGCAUGCAGAUAUUCAGCCUCCGAUUCCUGAAAGCCAGGGUUGUGUGCAGCAAGGCAAGGCCCUCUGCCACCAGGAGCAGUAAGGAGAUUAAGUCAUGCUGCAGUGAAAACAAAUUCAGAUGAAGACACACAAUGAGACAAACAACAGAAACAGUGUUUGUUUUAGAGAUAACUCUGUUCUUCUGCUAAUCAAGAUGAAACCUCAUCCUUCUCCCAUCUGUGAUGUCUGCAGCAUAAACUCAGAUUAAACCACCCUAUCAGGUUGCAGUUUUUGGCCUGCCUAGCUCUGGACAGUUUUCCUGGCACCUUCCUCCUUCCACAGACUCCAGUCUCCACAUCACCGCCGAUUACCUGCACCUGCCGUCACCAAUUACUCAGACUCUUUUCACCUGUCCAACCUCCUUCAUA
Fundulus heteroclitus (mummichog) is the source of this 605-nucleotide long non-coding RNA. RefSeq lists it as uncharacterized. The transcript has 5 exons. The record is from RefSeq and is a predicted model, not a curated record. Lineage: Eukaryota; Metazoa; Chordata; Actinopteri; Cyprinodontiformes; Fundulidae.